Molecule: ribosomal RNA, 426 nt
Filed under: Salmonella enterica
Lineage: Bacteria; Pseudomonadati; Pseudomonadota; Gammaproteobacteria; Enterobacterales; Enterobacteriaceae
Also listed under: 2 other names
Description: partial 23S ribosomal RNA
Rfam family: Bacterial large subunit ribosomal RNA
Source: RNAcentral
CCGAACCGACUAAUGUUGAAAAAUUAGCGGAUGACCUGUGGCUGGGGGUGAAAGGCCAAUCAAACCGGGAGAUAGCUGGUUCUCCCCGAAAGCUAUUUAGGUAGCGCCUCGUGAAUUCAUCUCCGGGGGUAGAGCACUGUUUCGGCUAGGGGGCCAUCCCGGCUUACCAACCCGAUGCAAACUGCGAAUACCGGAGAAUGUUAUCACGGGAGACACACGGCGGGUGCUAACGUCCGUCGUGAAGAGGGAAACAACCCAGACCGCCAGCUAAGGUCCCAAAGUCAUGGUUAAGUGGGAAACGAUGUGGGAAGGCCCAGACAGCCAGGAUGUUGGCUUAGAAGCAGCCAUCAUUUAAAGAAAGCGUAAUAGCUCACUGGUCGAGUCGGCCUGCGCGGAAGAUGUAACGGGGCUAAACCAUGCACCGAA